This is a non-coding RNA of Neoarius graeffei (lesser salmon catfish), 73 nucleotides long. Lineage: Eukaryota; Metazoa; Chordata; Actinopteri; Siluriformes; Ariidae. The record is from the annotation of a RefSeq genome assembly.
GCCUUGUUGGUGCAGUAGGCAGCACGUCAGUCUUGUAAUCUGAAAGUCAUGAGAUCGAGCCUCAUAUGGGGCA